CCAGGACUAAAACUGGACUAAACCAGGUCUAAAACUGGACUAAACCAGGACUAAACCAGGUCUAAACUAGGACUAAAACUGGACCAAACCAGGACUAAACCAGGACUUGAACUUAAAGAUAAAAGGAGCUGUUCAUUUAUAAAACGAACCACUUCAUGAUGUCACAGGGUGGAUCAGAGCGUUUGGAGCUUUAGACCGACGAAUAAUCAAGAAUAAAGAGUCACUCAAACAAACAAAAACAAAAAAAAAAAAACAAACGCAAAAGUGUGAGGGGAAAACUCGGGAUUGAACUGUUUGUGUAACUUAUUUUGUUAAAAGUUUGUACUGAUUUGUUGAGUUGUUUUGUUGUUUUUUUGUGUUUUUGGGAACAAGACAAGGUUUUUGUUUACAGCUCUGAUCACAAACGUUCCACUUAUUAAAAAAAAAAAAAGAAAAAUCAACCAAACAAAUGAUUUUCAACUCAGUUCUUAAAUGAUGUUAUAUAUUUUAUUUUUGUCUUUUAUUUAUUCAUUUUUUUGUCUGUUUGUUUAGUCUUUAGAAACUAAAGGGACGCAUUUUAAGACUAAACCAGAACUAAACCAGGACGAAACCAGAACUAAACCAGGACUAAACCAGGACUUAUAUUUUUUCAUUUAGUCUGUAAAUGUUUAAAUAUUUGGAGGUUUUCAUUUCUGAUCACAAACUGUUUUUUUUUUUUUCCUGUAUAAAACUUUAAUUUAUUUCAUUUUAUCUCCAAACUUGUCUAAAGUUUCACAUUCCUAAAAAUAUUUUUACAAAACCAAAGAUAUUUUUCUAAAUAUUUGUUCUUCCACUUCUCUUCAUUUAUUAAAAUUUUUAAUAAAAUUGAAUGAGUAAAAUA
Boleophthalmus pectinirostris (great blue-spotted mudskipper) is the source of this 859-nucleotide long non-coding RNA. RefSeq lists it as uncharacterized. Lineage: Eukaryota; Metazoa; Chordata; Actinopteri; Gobiiformes; Gobiidae. The transcript has 2 exons. The record is from RefSeq and is a predicted model, not a curated record.